AAGUCGUAACAAGGUUUCCGUAGGUGAACCUGCGGAAGGAUCAUUAGAGAGUGAUCUGGUUUUGCCGAGAGGCUGAGACCGGUUACCCGACCUGAUGUCAUGUGUUUUUGUGCGCUGUGAACGCUGUGGCUGUGCUGGAAUGGCGUAGCCACGGCGUUUUGGCGACAGCAAAACUUCGGCGGAAGCGGCGACAGUCGAUUGACGGUAGCCCGCCGCCGGCCAUUGCUUUCAAAAAGUCUUGUGAAAACGAUGAAGUCUAUAUGAUGUAACCGAUAGGAAGAUUGGUGAAAAUGAAAUAAAAAAGCAAAACUUUCAACAACGGAUCUCUUGGCUCUG
The sequence is an unclassified non-coding RNA, 336 nucleotides long. The stretch from base 1 to 46 matches the Rfam family "Eukaryotic small subunit ribosomal RNA", at positions 1786 to 1831 of the family's 1831-position model.